UUUUUUUUUUUUUUUUUUUUUUUCCUUUUUUUCGCUAACUUCAUCUACACAGACAAGCAUAAAG
RNAcentral lists this non-coding RNA (64 nucleotides) under Partenskyella glossopodia. Lineage: Eukaryota; Cercozoa; Chlorarachniophyceae. The record is from RNAcentral.